CAGAAGCAUUUCUUUGCUCCUAAACACCUGUGAAUCUACUUUUGUUGCUUCGGCGGACCUGCCCCUGGGGGGGCAGCUGAGGUCCGUCGGAGGUUUUUUCAAAAACUCUUGUUUUAGUGGUCUUCAGAACAAACAAAAAUAAAUCA
RNAcentral lists this unclassified non-coding RNA (146 nucleotides) under uncultured fungus. RNAcentral describes it as "sequence contains ITS1, 5.8S rRNA gene". The record is from RNAcentral. Lineage: Eukaryota; Fungi.